Molecule: ribosomal RNA, 253 nt
Filed under: uncultured bacterium
Lineage: Bacteria
Description: partial 16S ribosomal RNA
Rfam family: Bacterial small subunit ribosomal RNA
Source: RNAcentral
UACGUAGGGGGCAAGCGUUAUCCGGAUUUACUGGGUGUAAAGGGAGCGUAGACGGCGAUGCAAGCCAGAUGUGAAAGCCCGGGGCUCAACCCCGGGACUGCAUUUGGAACUGUAUAGCUAGAGUGUCGGAGAGGCAGGCGGAAUUCCUAGUGUAGCGGUGAAAUGCGUAGAUAUUAGGAGGAACACCAGUGGCGAAGGCGGCCUGCUGGACGGUGACUGACGUUGAGGCUCGAAAGCGUGGGGAGCAAACAGG